This is a long non-coding RNA of Leptopilina heterotoma, 676 nucleotides long. RefSeq lists it as uncharacterized. Lineage: Eukaryota; Metazoa; Arthropoda; Insecta; Hymenoptera; Figitidae. The record is from RefSeq and is a predicted model, not a curated record. The transcript has 3 exons.
ACAGUUUUUUGACAAUAAUAAAUAUUCUAUUUCAACCAAUAGAAAUUUACUUGAAUCAAAUAAAUUCUUUUACAAUCAAAUAAAAUUUAUUUGAAACAAAGAAAACUUUAUUGAACCAAGUAAAUUCUAUUUCAAUCAAAUAAAAUUAAUUUGUAACAAAUAAAUUUCUAUUUUGCUGUGAGAUAAAUGUACCUUUUCUCAAGAUGUAUAUUUUUAUAUUUAUAAUUUUCUAUAUUUAAUUUCUUUUUGUAUUUAUAAUUUUAUAUCCCCAUUAUUAUAUCUGUAAAUUUGUUAUUUUACAUUUUUAUUUUAUUUUUAUAUUUCACAUUAUUUAUAUUUUACUUUUUAAAAGAAGAUUUGCAAACGAGAAUAUUUUUUUCAGGUAUUUUUUACCCUUUUUUCUAAGAAAAGUGAGAUUUCGAAAACUAACCAGUGAGGAUAUUUUUGUCCGCGAAAAAUGGAAUCCACGAUAUUUUCUAUCAAUAAAAAAAAACAGAUGAAGACUUCUAAUCUCAAUCGCAACUAGCAAGGUGGGAAAUUUACUUUAUACAGUGGAACAAUUUUCGUCCGCGUGAUAAAUUUACCUGAAGAAAGCCCUCUUUGGAAACGUUAACAUGAACAGCGGUGAUGGCGGCUUUAGAGAGUGACGAGGUAGUAGCCAGGGAAACUUCGUUUA